Molecule: ribosomal RNA, 497 nt
Filed under: uncultured bacterium
Lineage: Bacteria
Description: partial 16S ribosomal RNA
Rfam family: Bacterial small subunit ribosomal RNA
Source: RNAcentral
GAUGAACGCUGGCGGCGUGCCUAAUACAUGCAAGUCGAGCGAACAGACGAGGAGCUUGCUCCUCUGACGUUAGCGGCGGACGGGUGAGUAACACGUGGAUAACCUACCUAUAAGACUGGGAUAACUUCGGGAAACCGGAGCUAAUACCGGAUAAUAUAUUGAACCGCAUGGUUCAAUAGUGAAAGACGGUUUUGCUGUCACUUAUAGAUGGAUCCGCGCCGCAUUAGCUAGUUGGUAAGGUAACGGCUUACCAAGGCAACGAUGCGUAGCCGACCUGAGAGGGUGAUCGGCCACCUUGGAACUGAGACACGGUCCAUACUCCUACGGGAGGCAGCAGUAGGGAAUCUUCCGCAAUGGGCGAAAGCCUGACGGAGCAACGCCGCGUGAGUGAUGAAGGUCUUCGGAUCGUAAAACUCUGUUAUUAGGGAAGAACAAAUGUGUAAGUAACUAUGCACGUCUUGACGGUACCUAAUCAGAAAGCCACGGCUAACUACGUG